This is a long non-coding RNA of Gallus gallus (chicken), 2135 nucleotides long. NCBI's taxonomy places the organism in Eukaryota, Metazoa, Chordata, Aves, Galliformes, Phasianidae. The record is from Ensembl.
AAAGCUGGGAGCGGAGUUCACUUUGCCUCUGGAGCAGGACGUAACCCGGUCUCACACGAGGCACUGAAUGUCUACCACAGACUCGUGAGGUUUAGGUUUUUUAGCAGUGUAUCUGGAGGAUAGAAAUCUUCCAGUUUUUUAGCAGCUUUGAGGAGUAAGCAGUUCCCCCCCAGCGUGAUUAAAAACAUCAGAAGAAUGCUGCAUCAUAAAGCGAAGGAUGGAGGCUAUCUCCAGGACUGGAUUCUGAUCGGAUUCACGGCUUUUCCUAGAGCCAUAGGAAGGAGUUAAGAGAAAGCAAGCGCUUGCUGGUAUUCUGUUCCUUUGUCCCCUGCUCUGUGCUGCCAGAGGAUGCGUUGCACUGAGCGGCGGCAUGGCACCUCUGCUUCAGAAAUACAUUGAGCUUGGCAGGCCCGUGCUCAGGGCAGGGGGAAGGCGUGCACCGCACUGAGAGCAAGCAGAUGGGAUUAGACACAGUUUAAUCACUUAUGUGGGGCUGAGCCGAUUGCCAGGAUCGGAGUGGUACCUGCACAAGCCAGGGUUUGGAAGAGGCUGUCUAUGCGGCACCUGGCCUGCCCGCGCUCCAUGCAGUGUCUGCGCAUCCCUGCUGACCUCAAGGCCGUCGGUCUGUCCUUCUGUCCAUCUGUCUUCCCGUCAGCAAUGGUUGGCUGAUGCUCUGCCAUGAGGAACAUUUAGAGGCCUGAAAGUUUGCAUAAAGAGGAACUCCCAUGGAGUCCCAGACUCAAAAGAGUAAUAUUACCAUUGGUGCACAUCAGGUGAUUUCUCCAGGAUGGCACAGCUGUCUGCCAACGCCAGUGCCUCCAGCACUUGCCUGAAGCACAGCUGGCUGUACACUGAGACCCAGUGUGCACUUCCUACAGCAGAUAGAUCAGAUGCAGAACCAUUUCCUGCCUCAUCUGGAACUCAUGGCAUAGCACAAGUCAGCCAGGGAGUCCCAGUGUGCCAAGUGUCCGCCAGGAUGAAGCUGUGCUCCUGUUUCCGUGAUCGCUUCUGCAACCACAAGGUCUGGAGAAAGCACAGGCCAUGCAGUCCAUCCCUAGCUAUGCACUUGAGGAAGAUGGCAAAGUGGUGUCUGAUAGCAGUAAGUUAUCCGUGGGUGAAGACAUGAUGUCCUUUUUAGACCCAUCACUUUUUCUUUCCUCUCUUCCCUCUUUCUUUUCCCCAUCAGACAUUGCCUUGCUGUCUUGGCUAUGAUGAGUGGUUGGACUUUUCCUCUCUAGUGCUGAACUGGGGGCGCUGUCCUUGCCAUGGAUGCACAAACAGCAUCAUGCCGUGCCCUUUUAUGUACCUUUAGUCAGCACUACAGUGCUCGAUUCUCUUUCUCCAGCCUUCUGUAGGUCAUUCAGUGUGAAGCUGCAGCAUACGCAGGGCUGGUGAGUAGGACCCCAUCUAUCCCAGCCCAACCUGCCAGCCAGGAGGCACGGAGUGACACGAGGCUGCUUUCCAUGGAACUUGAGCUGAACGGCAAUGUGUGCACGUUCAAAAUAGCUGUGCAUUUCAAAGGAAGAAACAUCUUUCUGAUUGGUUUCAGGUUUAUAAGUUUCAAACUCAAUCAGAGAAAGCAUUUCUGGUUCACAAAGCCAGACUUCCCCUGUCGGCCUCUUCCUCCAGCCACGGGCAUUUCCCAGCCACCUGCGCGUGUGACACAGCUGGUGGACAUGCCCAGCAGAAUGAGGAGCUGCCAGCCCUGCAAGCUUUGCUCAGUGCAGCUCACAGACUGCCCUUUGCCAGCCUCCAGGCCCAGAAAGCACAGAGACAGGACACUUGUGAAGCAGUGGCCCCCAGCCUCUCCCAGCCUGCCACAUCCCCGCUCCCCAAAACUCCCUUCAGCUGUGCCAUGUGCCAGGAGCAGACGGGCACCCCGCUUGUCCUUAUUGUUAGAGCUCAGGGACUGUCCUUCUGAUGGCCAGAGCCUGCUGCUCAGGCUGUGCCACGUUUGUCUGCAAGGAAAUGGGAUGUUUAUGUUUAUUCAAAUCGAUACUGAUGGAUUACAUUUUUGUUCUGUUUAGCAGCUGCUUGGAUCAUUUUAUACCACAAAAGGUGAUUAAGAUCCAAAGUACUGUAGGGCUGUGUUACGAGUAAGAGCCGUUUAAUAGCAAUAACAAUGAAUAAUAAUG